AGAGUUUGAUCCUGGCUCAGGACGAACGCUGGCGGCGCGCUUAACACAUGCAAGUCGAGCGAGAACCGGACCUUCGGGUCCGGGGAAAGCGGCGAACGGGUGAGUAACACGUGAGUAAUCUGCCCUCGACAUCGGGAUAGCCCGGGGAAACCCGGAUUAAUACCGAAUGGCCCAACAGCUCUUCGGGGCGGUUGGAAAAGGUAGCUUCGGCCUCCGGUCGAGGAGGAGCUCGCGGCGGAUUAGCUUGUUGGCGGGGUAAUGGCCCACCAAGGCGACGAUCCGUAGCUGGUCUGAGAGGACGAUCAGCCACACUGGGACUGAGACACGGCCCAGACUCCUACGGGAGGCAGCAGUGGGGAAUCUUGCGCAAUGGGCGAAAGCCUGACGCAGCGACGCCGCGUGCGGGAAGAAGGCCUUCGGGUUGUAAACCGCUUUCAGGAGGGACGAAGCUACUCGGGUGAAUAGCCCAGAGGGUGACGGUACCUCCAGAAGAAGCCCCGGCUAACUACGUGCCAGCCGCCGCGGUAAUAC
This 531-nucleotide ribosomal RNA is filed under the name uncultured bacterium. Its description in RNAcentral is "bacterial SSU rRNA". It matches the Rfam family "Bacterial small subunit ribosomal RNA", at positions 8 to 526 of the family's 1533-position model. The record is from RNAcentral.